UACGAAGGGGGCUAGCGUUGCUCGGAAUUACUGGGCGUAAAGCGCACGUAGGCGGCUUUCUAAGUCGGGGGUGAAAUCCUGGAGCUCAACUCCAGAACUGCCUUCGAUACUGGAAAGCUCGAGUCCGGGAGAGGUGAGUGGAACUGCGAGUGCAGAGGUGAAAUUCGUAGAUAUUCGCAAGAACACCAGUGGCGAAGGCGGCUCACUGGCCCGGUACUGACGCUGAGGUGCGAAAGCGUGGGGAGCAAACAGG
RNAcentral lists this ribosomal RNA (253 nucleotides) under uncultured bacterium. Its description in RNAcentral is "partial 16S ribosomal RNA". It matches the Rfam family "Bacterial small subunit ribosomal RNA", at positions 524 to 776 of the family's 1533-position model. The record is from RNAcentral.